Molecule: long non-coding RNA, 398 nt
Filed under: Elaeis guineensis (African oil palm)
Lineage: Eukaryota; Viridiplantae; Streptophyta; Magnoliopsida; Arecales; Arecaceae
Description: long non-coding RNA (EGUI_LNC031011)
Source: RNAcentral
GCUAGAUGCAUAGUCUUUGAGGGAGUAGAUAAAGUCUUUAAUUUUUCAAUCUUAUAGUCUAUUUUAAAUAUUUUUAUAUAUUUAUUUUGAUGUAAUUAAAUCUUGUAAGACUCUCUUUUGCAAUGAAAUUUUUAUUCUAUUCAUGAGUUGCUUUCAAGUUAUUAUACUUCAAGCUUAUGUAGUUAGUCCUUGAAUAGUUUAUACAUUUGUUGGGAUGAAUCAUGAUCGGAAGAUACAGUCCGUGCUCAAGCUAAAUAGGCUAUCUUAAAGAUUUACUCAUAGAUUUUUUUAUCUUCGUUUUAAGAUCUUUUAUGAUUCAAGUUUGAAUAAUUUAUACUUUAGGGAGAUAGGUCGUGAUCGGAGAUACAAUUUGUGCUUAGGUGACAUAAGUUAUGAUC